AAAAAAGAAACCCUGGCUCCUUCAUCUUGAUCUCCUUCUUUUGUCUCCGCCAUCCCCCGCCCCCAGCGUCUAGGCCUAGACAAAUCCUACUACUCAGCUUUCAGUCUGUAGAUUUGCUUGCUCUGGAUAGGCCACAUAAACGGAGCCAUAGCGUAUGUGGCCAUUUGUGGCUGACUUCUUUUGCUUGUUUUUUUCCUUGUGUUUAAUGUUCGUCCAUUGUGUAGCAUGUACCAAUACUUCAUUUCUAUAUACUGCCUAAUAAUAUUCCAUUGAAUGGAUAUACUACACUUUCUUUUUCUAGUCAUCACAUGAUGCCCAAUUGGGUUGCUUCCUUUUUUUUUUUUUUGGAUUGUCUUGUUUUUGUUUUUUAAGACUGCACCCGCAGCAUCUGGAAGUUUCCAGGCUAGGGAUCGAAUCAGAGCUACACCUGCUGACCUGUGCCACGGCCACAGCAACGUGGGAUCCCAGCCGCAUCUGCGACCUACACCACAGCUCACAGCAACCCCAGAUCCCCAGCCCACUGAGGGAGGCCAGGGAUCAGACCCGCAGCCUUGUGGAUACUAGUUGGAUUUGUUUCCACUAUGCCGUAACGGGAGCUCCUGGAUUUCAUUUUUGACUGUUGUGAAUAAUGCCACUGUGAACGCUCAUCUAUAAGUUAUUGUGUGAACAUGUGCUUUCAUUUCUCUUAGGAACAUACCAAGGAGUGGAAUUGCUGAAUCACAUGGUUUAACCGUUUGAGUAACUGCCAGAUUGUUCCUUAAAGUGUCUGCAUCGUUUUAUAUUUUACAUCAUUUAUAUUUUAUAUUUACCUUAUAAAAUAAUGUACAUUUUACCUUCACAAUAGCUUCCUCUCUUUGGCAACAUUUGUUAUCAUUUGUCUUUUUGACUGUAGCCAUCCUAGUGGGUGUGAAGUGGUAUCUCAUUGUGGUUUUAAUCUGCAUUGCCCUGAUCAGGAGCCCUGUUUUCAAAAUAAGGCAUAAAAUACAAAGCAUCUCUUAGGGCCUUCAGUGGAAGCCUGAGAAAGAAAUAUCAAGAGACUGACAGGUGUCAAAGGAGGGUUUCAGGCAGUUAAGGGCAAAAUGUGAGUUGAAAGCAGCCUGUUAGGCUUUAUUCAGUCUGUAGUGUUGCUGUGUUCCACUAUAAUGAAUAACCAGAUAUCACUGUUCUCAGUCAGAUUAGCUGUUCUCAGUCCUAGACAGCACUACAGUAGAGUUAUCUAAAAAAAAAAAAAAUUUUUUUUUUUUUUUUUUUGGUUAAAUUUUGCUCUUUAGGGCCGUACCUGUGGCAUAUGGAAGUUCCCAGGCUAAGGGUCAAAUUGGAGCUACAGCUGCUGGCCUACACCACAGCCACAGCAACAUGAGAUCUGAGCCGUGUCUGCCACCUAUACCACAGCUCACGGCAACACUGGAUCCUUACUUAACCAAUUGAACGAGGCCAGGGAUCGAACCUUCGUCCUCAUGGAAGGUCGGAUUCGUUAACCACUGCGCCACGACGGGAACUCCUGGAGUAUUUUUUUAAGGAACCUGUAUUUUUGUCCUAAGAGAACUGCUCAAAAUCUGUGCAGUAGUCCAGGCCUUCUUGCCCUUUCAAAAAGGUACUCUCUGUGCAGUAGUCCAGGCCUUCUUGCCCUUUCAAAGCGGUACUCUCUGUCUGUAGUCUUGUCAUUGUCUCUAGAUUACGUGAAAAUGUGGCAUAUAGACCCGUUGGUGUAAAGUGUCGCAUAGAGAAACCUGAAAUGAAAAUGACGGAGGAGGUGCGUUGCAGAGCAGCGUCUCCGUCUGGCUAGCUUCUCCACGUCCUUGCCUUGUCUCCCUAAUACAUCAUCUUUGCUCGCCUUUUUUCCUGCCUUCUUUCUUUUUCUUUUCUUUUCUUUCUUUUUUUUGGGGGGGGGAAGCCUAUUUUACUUAUGCACUGCAGCCUGUAAAGAAAAUAAGGUCUCUAUUACACAUCCUUAAAAACAAAGAGGGAAAGAAACAAACCCUUGUUAAUAACUUCCACUUUGAGUGCUUGGGCUGGUUGCAAGGCCCAGGGGACCAAUCGGCUGAGUGUGGGAGGAUGUGGAACCAUUUGUCCUGGGAGAACCACUGCAUUAAAGGAAGAGAGGGAAGGCAUGGGGGGAAGGGGAGGCUCUGCUGAUGAAAGUUGCUGUCAAAUUAGCAGGUCUGGAAGUUGUAGUGCAUAUUGUUAUGAGCUGCUCAAGUUCACACCAGAGCAACCAGCUCCAUCCGUCUUUCUCAGUUUACAUUUUAAUUGGCUUGUAGUUAAGUUUUUUAAACACUGCGAGAUUGCUGACAUACACUGUAAUAUCAUGUGAAUAAUUUAUGGAGGUUGCUCAAGACAAGCUUUUUCUUUGAUUUGAGAAUCCAAGGGGAAGGGGUGAAGAAAGAUGAGGAGUCUGUGGGAGGGGCCCAGGACAGAGGAGCAGACACAACUGUGUGUUGUGCGCUGGAUGUUAAAUGUUUCUGCCGGUGUAGGCAGCAGCGUUGGGGAUUUCUGGGAGGUUUGUACAAUACAAUCUUAUUAAUAACAAUUCUGUCAAGAGAGCACCCAAUUAAAUUGAAUUGGGUUUAUGACUCCCUCUUGGUUUCUUAAAAUGUGUGGAUAUAAAACCUGUUCGAUGUGAGUGUUGGAUAACAAGGGUGGGCUUUUCUUUUCUUUUCUUCCUUUUUUUUUUUUUUUUUUUUUUUUUUUUGGUUGGUUUUAAUGAUUCCUCCUCCUACUGAGAAUUUUCUUGUUUAUAAAUGCAGGAGUCGACACUUUUCCCAAACUACCUUUUUCUUUUCAGCUCUCACAAUAAUCUAGAGAUGGAACCAGUGUCGGCGCGCAGUCGUUCUAGUUAAGAACUUGACUGCUUCUGGGAGUGGUUGGCUAGACAGCUCUGAGUCUAGAAUAUCAUUUAAUUAAGACCUGCGGGAGAACCCUCUUCCAAAAUAUACUUCGAAAAUAUACUUUUCUUCUUAUUAUAAAAUAAGUGAAGUGUAUGAAACAAGGAGAGUAUGAAGGAGAGAAUAAAAAUCACCUAUAACUCCCCCCACACUGAUAACAUUUGGUGUAGGUUUUGUUUAUAUCUUUCCAGUCAUUUUUCUAGCCAUAUAUACUGAACAUAAAUGAAAUCGUAUAUACCACUUAGAAUUCUUUUUUUCACUCACCCAUUACAUCUUAAGUAUUUGCUCAUAUGUUUUGUCUACAGUUCCAUUUCUAAUGACUACGCAACAUGUACGUAUGUAUAUUUUCUGUGCAUGUACAAUGCUUUAUUGACCCCAUUUCCAGCCACUGAAAUGAAGCAGUUUUAUCCAUUUCAGGCAGGGGGGCAGUAAAUAUAUUUUUGGUUAAAUGUUGGUGUGUAUUCUUGAUUAUUUCCUUAGGGACAUUUUUAGAACUAGAAUGUCCACGGUGAAGCAGAAGGAGUCUGAGGAAAAGAUCAGCAAUACCUCAAGAACAAGUUUGUCCUGCAAAGUGGGAGAAAAUACAGAUUUUUCUCACUAAUGAAAUUAAUAAUUUCUUUCUAUUUAAAAAAUUGGUAAUGACAAAUUCAAUCAGAGGUUCUUUGAAAUAAUCGAUAUGUUUUUCUCCUUGUGGGUUUCUUAACCACAAAACCUAAUCCUAAUAGGAUUAAUAUAGGCUAUUUUUUCUUUCCCAAUUGGCACAUAACUACCUAAGACUUCAUGUAAUCAGUUGAGAUGCUACAAAUAUAUUGCCUGUCAACUCCAAUAAAAGAAGAGGGCAGUUAAUUAAAAGGAUGUCUUGCUGUUAAACAAACUUGCAGUCAAUUGCUUGUAAGUAACAUUUAGUUUGAUAUGUAGUCAGAGGGCAAGAAAAUCAUUGUUCAGAAAGGACUAGCUGUUUAGAACUAUGAAAAGAGGAGUGACUUUAGUGAAGUGGAGAUGAAUGACCUAUUAGUUGGUAUGAUGUCUUCCUUUUAAAAAAUAUAUUCAGGAAGUUCCUGUCGUGGCCCAGCAGAAACGAAUAUGACUAGGAACAAUGAGGUUGCGGGUUCAAUCCCUGGCCUCGCUCAGUGGGUUAAGGACCUAGUAUUGUCAGGAGCUGUGGUGUAGGUCGCAGACACAGCUUGGAUCCUACAUUGCUGUGGCCUGUGGUGUAGGCUGGCAGCUGUAGCUCCAUUGGACCCCUAGCCUGGGAACCUCUAUAUGCCUCGAGUGUGGCCCUAAAAAGCAAAAAUAAAUAAAUUAAUUAAGUGUUGGAGGGAUUGCGAUGGACUGAGCGUUUGAGGUUAAUAGAUGGAAACUAUUGCAUUUAGAAUGGACAGACAAAAGGGUCCUGCUGUGUAGCAUAGGGAACUGUAUCCAAUCUCCUGGGAUCAGACCAUGAUGGAAAAUAAUAUUUUUUUAAAAAAUGUAUAUAUGUGUAUGACUGAGUCACAUUGCUAUACAGUAGAAAUUGGCACAACAUUGUAAAUCAACUAUACUUUAAUAAAAAAUUUAAAAAUAAAAUGUAAGUGUUGAACUGUUUGGGAAACAGAGGAUGUGUAUAGAGGGGAGACCCUUUCCAUCUCAAAGGUACACAAAUGUUAGAGACCAGAGCCAUUUGAAAGUGUCAUCCGCUUUGUGUCACCAAGUUCCAAAGGUGGUCCCUGAAAUUUGGCGCCUCCUCCAGCGCUAAGAAACUUCCGACUUUGCCAAUGACCGCAUUAAAAUGUGGGUAUCUGGCAAGGGUGAACCAGUCUCAUUUACUGGUUUUCAUUCUUUGCACGGGCUAUUAUUUCAUAAACAAGAAUUUAUUUUCUUCAUGCCAAUUCUGUGCCCUGCUAGGCAGUAUGGAAUGCAAGAGAAGGCCUAAGUUAUGGUCGUACCUCUCCUGGGCCUUCUAAUAAAGCAAAGUAAAUAUGUAAUCCACUUACAGUCAGUCAAUAGCAAUAUUUUUGUUUGUAAUGAUCCCACAUUUCAGUUGAAGAAAGUACUUAUUAUGCUAGGAAGGAAAACAUCAGCUGAAAUUAAUGGCAGAUUCUGAAUGGGCACUGAGCUAUAUUCAGAAUGUGAGUAUUUUCAGUUAGGUGAGGUUGUUGAGGUUUGCUUUCUUUCCUGAGCUCUUAUGAAUUAGCAAAUUCUAAACCGGCUGUUUUCAAAUUACAUAAAAUUGGUGCCUACCCUGAGUGUCUGUUUCUCUCUGCCAAGUUUCUACUCGUAACCUAUUUUAAAGCUUAGUCCUCAACACCCCCAAACCAAUGGAAUGAUAGCAGGCACCACCUUAAACCAUAAUGUUUUCACAAGGACGUGUUCAAGCUUGAAAUAAUGACCAGGUUGGAGAAAGAGGGAGGUGAGAAGGGAGGAGCAGACAAGUUUGUGUUUUCUUAUUAAAAAAAAAAAAA
This 5326-nucleotide long non-coding RNA is filed under the name Sus scrofa (pig). RNAcentral's name for it is "lncRNA (ENSSSCG00005007172.1)". The record is from RNAcentral. Lineage: Eukaryota; Metazoa; Chordata; Mammalia; Artiodactyla; Suidae.